Molecule: long non-coding RNA, 1411 nt
Organism: Astatotilapia calliptera (eastern happy)
Lineage: Eukaryota; Metazoa; Chordata; Actinopteri; Cichliformes; Cichlidae
Source: Ensembl
GAAAAUUACCAUGUGACUAACUGUACUGCUGGUUCUAAUAAAGACUGCUAUGAUGCUAAUAUCAGCUGUGGGCUCUGUCUUUUUGAACCUCAUACUGAUUCUUGCAGUCGUGUUCUCAUCAACUUUAUUCCCACUGUGAAGUCAAAGGUCAGUCAUCAACUUCAAGUCAGAAACUAUCUAGGGAACAUGAUGGAGCGUUUAGUGGCCACAGUACCAGAUAUUUUCUAAAGGAGGUUUCAGUAGAGAACAAAGCAGGUCUGAAAGUAGACUUGGACCGCAGGUUGCCAGAAAGAACUUCAAAUUAAGUUUGAUCCGUGGUGUUCUGUCUGCCUGUUGAUUUAACAGGCAGUGGUUUGUGACUUUUGGGCUAUAUGUGAGUCAGCUUGAUUUGAAGUUUCAAAGCUCUUGGCAUAUACAAAAAACCCCAACGUAUUAGUAAAUACAUGGCUCAUUCUGCCUCUUCGAUUAGCAUAUUUUUUUCUAGACAGCUAUGUAGUCACGUUUUUUAUUUUAUUUUAUUUUAUUUGUUUCUUUGAUUUAAACUUGUUUUUCAUUUUUGUACUUGUCUGAACCGAAAGUCCCCCCUCUCUCUCUGUCACACACACACUCACACAAUCUUUUGUUACAAAAAGGGUCUAAUUACAAACAUCAGCUCUUAAUGCACUGCGUGGUGUGCCUGUGUGUGUGUGUGUUAGAGAGAGCUUGAGAUUGAGGAAGCUUGAGCACUACAGCAAAAUAUUUUUUAUUCUACAGUCUGCACAGAAUUCACCGACUAUAACUUUCAAGUGUGAAGUUUACCUAUUCAAAAGAACCAUCUCUGUCCACUGGAUGGUUGGUUAUCAAAGAUCUGGCUCCAGACUGCACCUCAUUAACACAAACUCUUUUCAAUCCCUUUUACACCACUCCUCCUCCUCAGAUGAAUCACUGAAUUUUGCUCUUCCUUUCUAAUUACCUGUCCACCAUUUAUUGGUCCGCUCUGCUCUUUUCCUUUUGUAUUUCCUCAUUCUUGCUCUUUCCCCCCCCUGUCCUUUCCAGCUAAAUUGCUUCCCAUUCUUAUCCUAGUCCUUCGUUAGCCUCCCUCAGAGUAUCUCUUUCCUCAUUUCAGAUCUUUGUCACUUUCUUUCCCAUCUUCUGCACCCUCCCCCACCCUGGUUUCCACACUCCUGCAAUCUACCACAGCUCCACCUAGCUACAAAUUCACCACUGGCAUCACCGUGUCACAUCUCAAACUAUUUUCUCCAUAGCCAUAGUUAGUCAUCCAAGAUCCUUGUAUGUUUUUAUCCCGUAAUUUGUUUUCUCUACCUGCCAUUAGUUUCCUGGUCUUUUAUAUACCAGUUUUGUGUCUUGUGCAACUAUUAUGAUUAUUAUUUGCAGUCCAAAGGGGAAAGACUACAAAUGCCUACAAUACGAC